Non-coding RNA from Pelobates cultripes (western spadefoot toad), 157 nucleotides. Lineage: Eukaryota; Metazoa; Chordata; Amphibia; Anura; Pelobatidae. The record is from the annotation of a GenBank genome assembly.
GCAGACACAUUCCAGCCAAUCAGCAGCAGACCCUCCCUCCCAAACCCUCCCACCUCCUGGACAGCAUCCAUUGUGAAGCUGCAUUCUUAGUGAGCUGUCCAGGAGGUGGGAGGGUCUGGGAGGGAGGGUCUGCUGUUGAUUGGCUGGAAUGUGUCUG